This 512-nucleotide ribosomal RNA is filed under the name uncultured bacterium. RNAcentral's name for it is "bacterial SSU rRNA". It matches the Rfam family "Bacterial small subunit ribosomal RNA", at positions 28 to 588 of the family's 1533-position model. The record is from RNAcentral.
AGCGAACGCUGGCGGCAGGCCUAAUACAUGCAAGUCGAACGCACCUUCGGGUGAGUGGCGGACGGGUGAGUAACGCGUGGGAACGUGCCCUUUGGUUCGGAACAACACAGGGAAACUUGUGCUAAUACCGAAUGUGCCCUUCGGGGGAAAGAUUUAUCGCCAUUGGAGCGGCCCGCGUUGGAUUAGCUUGUUGGUGGGGUAAAAGCCCACCAAGGCGACGAUCCAUAGCUGGUCUGAGAGGAUGAUCAGCCACACUGGGACUGAGACACGGCCCAGACUCCUACGGGAGGCAGCAGUAGGGAAUCUUGCGCAAUGGGCGAAAGCCUGACGCAGCCAUGCCGCGUGAAUGAUGAAGGUCUUAGGAUUGUAAAAUUCUUUCACCGGGGAAGAUAAUGACGGUACCCGGAGAAGAAGCCCCGGCUAACUUCGUGCCAGUAGCCGCGGUAAUACGAAGGGGGCUAGCGUUGCUCGGAAUUACUGGGCGUAAAGGGCGCGUAGGCGGACAUUUAAGU